UCGGGAAUUUUGGGCAAUGGGGGAAACCCUGACCCAGCAACGCCGCGUGAAGGAUGAAGUAUUUCGGUAUGUAAACUUCGAAAGAAUAGGAAGAAUAAAUGACGGUACUAUUUAUAAGGUCCGGCUAACUACGUGCCAGCAGCCGCGGUAAUACGUAGGGACCAAGCGUUGUUCGGAUUUACUGGGCGUAAAGGGCGCGUAGGCGGCAUGACAAGUCACUUGUGAAAUCUCUGGGCUUAACCCAGAACGGCCAAGUGAUACUGUCGCGCUAGAGUGCAGAAGGGGCAAUCGGAAUUCUUGGUGUAGCGGUGAAAUGCGUAGAUAUCAAGAGGAACACCUGAGGUGAAGACGGGUUGCUGGGCUGACACUGACGCUGAGGCGCGAAAGCCAGGGGGAGCAAACGGGAUUAGAUACCCAGGUAGUCCCUGAGCGGGCUGGCAAGGCGCAU
Molecule: ribosomal RNA, 448 nt
Filed under: uncultured bacterium
Lineage: Bacteria
Description: bacterial SSU rRNA
Rfam family: Bacterial small subunit ribosomal RNA
Source: RNAcentral